Molecule: ribosomal RNA, 485 nt
Filed under: uncultured bacterium
Lineage: Bacteria
Description: bacterial SSU rRNA
Rfam family: Bacterial small subunit ribosomal RNA
Source: RNAcentral
GAUGAACGCUAGCGGCAGGCCUAACACAUGCAAGUCGAGGGGCAGCACAGGUAGCAAUACUGGGUGGCGACCGGCGGAUGGGUGCGUAACGCGUAUGCAACCUACCAUUGAUUGGGGCAUAGCCCGAAGAAAUUCGGAUUAAUACUCCAUAAUAUUCAUCAAAGGCAUCUUUUAUGGAUUAAAGCUUUUGCGAUCAAUGAUGGGCAUGCGUGACAUUAGUUAGUUGGUGAGGUAACGGCUCACCAAAACGAUGAUGUCUAGGGGUUCUGAGAGGAUUAUCCCCCACACUGGUACUGAGACACGGACCAGACUCCUACGGGAGGCAGCAGUGAGGAAUAUUGGUCAAUGGACGCAAGUCUGAACCAGCCAUGCCGCGUGCAGGAUGACGGCCCUAUGGGUUGUAAACUGCUUUUCCACGGGAAGAACCCUCCGACGUGUCGGAGACUGACGGUACCGUGGGAAUAAGCAUCGGCUAACUCCGUGCC